Molecule: ribosomal RNA, 588 nt
Filed under: uncultured bacterium
Lineage: Bacteria
Description: bacterial SSU rRNA
Rfam family: Bacterial small subunit ribosomal RNA
Source: RNAcentral
CCUACGGGAGGCAGCAGUGGGGAAUUUUGGACAAUGGGCGCAAGCCUGAUCCAGCAAUGCCGCGUGCAGGAUGAAGGCCUUCGGGUUGUAAACUGCUUUUGUACGGAACGAAACGGCCCUUUCUAAUACAAGGGGCUAAUGACGGUACCGUAAGAAUAAGCACCGGCUAACUACGUGCCAGCAGCCGCGGUAAUACGUAGGGUGCGAGCGUUAAUCGGAAUUACUGGGCGUAAAGCGUGCGCAGGCGGUUAUAUAAGACAGAUGUGAAAUCCCCGGGCUCAACCUGGGACCUGCAUUUGUGACUGUAUAGCUAGAGUACGGUAGAGGGGGAUGGAAUUCCGCGUGUAGCAGUGAAAUGCGUAGAUAUGCGGAGGAACACCGAUGGCGAAGGCAAUCCCCUAGGACCUGUACUGACGCUCAUGCACGAAAGCGUGGGGAGCAAACAGGAUUAGAUACCCUGGUAGUCCACGCCCUAAACGAUGUCAACUGGUUAGUUGGGUCUUCACUGACUCAGUAACGAAGCUAACGCGUGAAGUUGACCGCCUGGGGAGUACGGCCGCAAGGUUGAAACGUCGAAAGGAUUGACGG